UGCCAGCCGCCGCGGUAAUACGAACUGUGCAAACGUUAUUCGGAAUCACUGGGCUUAAAGGGUGCGUAGGCGGGCAGGUAGGUCAGAUGUGAAAGCCCACGGCUCAACCGUGGAAUUGCGUUUGAAACCACUUGUCUUGAGGGGAUCAGGGGAGAGCGGAACUGAUGGUGGAGCGGUGAAAUGCGUUGAUAUUAUCAGGAACACCGGUGGCGAAGGCGGCUCUCUGGGGGAUGACUGACGCUGAGGCACGAAAGCUAGGGGAGCGAACAGGAUUAGAUA
Molecule: ribosomal RNA, 279 nt
Filed under: uncultured bacterium
Lineage: Bacteria
Description: partial 16S ribosomal RNA
Rfam family: Bacterial small subunit ribosomal RNA
Source: RNAcentral